RNAcentral lists this ribosomal RNA (661 nucleotides) under Lactobacillus gasseri. Its description in RNAcentral is "bacterial SSU rRNA". It matches the Rfam family "Bacterial small subunit ribosomal RNA", at positions 57 to 679 of the family's 1533-position model. RNAcentral also lists the same sequence under 1 other name. Lineage: Bacteria; Bacillati; Bacillota; Bacilli; Lactobacillales; Lactobacillaceae. The record is from RNAcentral.
GCAGUCGAGCGAGCUUGCCUAGAUGAUUUUAGUGCUUGCACUAAAUGAAACUAGAUACAAGCGAGCGGCGGACGGGUGAGUAACACGUGGGUAACCUGCCCAAGAGACUGGGAUAACACCUGGAAACAGAUGCUAAUACCGGAUAACAACACUAGACGCAUGUCUAGAGUUUGAAAGAUGGUUCUGCUAUCACUCUUGGAUGGACCUGCGGUGCAUUAGCUAGUUGGUAAGGUAACGGCUUACCAAGGCAAUGAUGCAUAGCCGAGUUGAGAGACUGAUCGGCCACAUUGGGACUGAGACACGGCCCAAACUCCUACGGGAGGCAGCAGUAGGGAAUCUUCCACAAUGGACGAAAGUCUGAUGGAGCAACGCCGCGUGAGUGAAGAAGGGUUUCGGCUCGUAAAGCUCUGUUGGUAGUGAAGAAAGAUAGAGGUAGUAACUGGCCUUUAUUUGACGGUAAUUACUUAGAAAGUCACGGCUAACUACGUGCCAGCAGCCGCGGUAAUACGUAGGUGGCAAGCGUUGUCCGGAUUUAUUGGGCGUAAAGCGAGUGCAGGCGGUUCAAUAAGUCUGAUGUGAAAGCCUUCGGCUCAACCGGAGAAUUGCAUCAGAAACUGUUGAACUUGAGUGCAGAAGAGGAGAGUGGAACUCCAUGUGUAGC